Molecule: ribosomal RNA, 349 nt
Filed under: uncultured bacterium
Lineage: Bacteria
Description: bacterial SSU rRNA
Rfam family: Bacterial small subunit ribosomal RNA
Source: RNAcentral
AGAGUUUGAUCCUGGCUCAGGAUGAACGCUAGCUACAGGCUUAACACAUGCAAGUCGAGGGGCAGCAUGUUGGUUGCUUGCAACCAAUGAUGGCGACCGGCGCACGGGUGAGUAACGCGUAUCCAACCUACCCUUGUCCAUCGGAUAACCCGUCGAAAGGCGGCCUAACACGAUAUGCGGUUCUCAGCAGGCAUCUAACGAGAACGAAAUGUAGAAGGAGAAGGAUGGGGAUGCGUCUGAUUAGCUUGGUUGGCGGGUAACGCCACAAGGCGACGAUCAGUAGGGUUCUGAGAGGAACGGUCCCCCANAUUGGAACUGAGACACGGUACCAAACUCCGUAACGGGAGCA